UAGUUGGAUAACUGAGGUAAUUCUUGAGCUAAUACACGCUAUUUAUACCACAUUAGUGGUGCGUUUAUUUGAUUAAACCAUUUUUAUAUUGGUUGACUCAAAAUAUCCUCGCUGAUUUUGUUACUAAAACAUACCGUAUGUGUAUCUGGUUUAUCAACUUUCGAUGGUAGGGUAUUGGCCUACCAUGGUUGUGACGGAUAACGGAGAAUUAGGGUUCGACUCCGGAGAGGGAGCCUGAGAAACGGCUACCACAUCCAAGGAAGGCAGCAGGCGCGAAAAUUACCCAAUUUUAGUUAAAAGAGGUAGUGACGAAAAAUGACAACCAAAUAUUAUUAUUAAUAUUUGGAUUGAAAAUCUUCAAGUAUAAAU
Molecule: ribosomal RNA, 369 nt
Filed under: Strongyloides stercoralis
Lineage: Eukaryota; Metazoa; Nematoda; Chromadorea; Rhabditida; Strongyloididae
Description: SSU rRNA
Rfam family: Eukaryotic small subunit ribosomal RNA
Source: RNAcentral